This 468-nucleotide ribosomal RNA is filed under the name uncultured bacterium. Its description in RNAcentral is "partial 16S ribosomal RNA". It matches the Rfam family "Bacterial small subunit ribosomal RNA", at positions 28 to 507 of the family's 1533-position model. The record is from RNAcentral.
GACGAACGCUGGCGGCGUGCUUAACACAUGCAAGUCGAACGGAAAGACCCUGCUUUUGUGGGGUGCUCGAGUGGCGAACGGGUGAGUAACACGUGAGUAACCUGCCCUUGACUUUGGUAUAACUUCAGGAAACUGGGGCUAAUACCGGAUAGGAUCUCCUGCUGCAUGGUGGGGGUUGGAUAGUUUCGGCGGUUGGGGAUGGACUCGCGGGUUAUCAGCUUGUUGGUGGGGUAGUGGCUUACCAAGGCUUUGACGGGUAGCCGGCCUGAGAGGGUGACCGGACACAUUGGGACUGAGAUACGGCCCAGAAUCCUACGGGAGGCAGCAGUGGGGAAUAUUGCACAAUGGGCGGAAGCCUGAUGCAGCAACGCCGCGUGCGGGAUGACGGCCUUCGGGUUGUAAACCGCUUUCGCCUGUGACGAAGCGUGAGUGACGGUAAUGGGUAAAGAAGCACCGGCUAACUACGUG